This 669-nucleotide ribosomal RNA is filed under the name Streptomyces sp. Its description in RNAcentral is "bacterial SSU rRNA". It matches the Rfam family "Bacterial small subunit ribosomal RNA", at positions 111 to 792 of the family's 1533-position model. Lineage: Bacteria; Bacillati; Actinomycetota; Actinomycetes; Kitasatosporales; Streptomycetaceae. The record is from RNAcentral.
UAACACUUGGGCAAUCUGCCCUGCACUCUGGGACAAGCCCUGGAAACGGGGUCAAAUACCGGAUACUGAUCAUGUUGGGCAUCCUUGGUGAAAAAAAGCUCCGGCGGUGCAGGAUGAGCCCGCGGCCUAUCAGUUUGUUGGUGAGGCGCGGCUCCCCAAGGAGACGACGGGUAGCCGGCCUGAGGGGGCGACCGGCCACUCUGGGACUGACACACGCCCCACUCUUCUACGGGAGGCAGCAGGGGGGAAUAGUGCACAAUGGGCGAAAGUCUUACGCAGCCACCCCGCGUGAGGGAUGACGGCCUUCUGGUUAAAAAUCUUUUUCAGCAGGAAAAAAGCAAAAGUGACGGUACCUGCAAAAGACCCGCCGGCUAACUACGUGCCAGCAGCCGCGAAAAUACAUAGGGCGCGAGCGUUCUCCGGAAUUAUUGGGCAUAAAGAGCUCGUAGGCUGUUUGUCGCGUCGGUUGAGAAACCCCGGGGCUUACCCCGGGGUGUGCAGUCGAUACGGGGAGGAUAGAGUUCUGGAGGGGAGAUCAUAACUCGUGGUGUAGCGGAAAAGUGCGCAUAUCACAGGAGGAACACCGGUGGAAAAGGCAAUCUGUGGGGCCGAUACUGACGCUGAGGAGCAAAAGCGUGGGGAAGCAAAACGGAUUAUAUACCCGUGGUA